AGUGAACGCUGGCGGUAGGCCUAACACAUGCAAGUCGAACGGCAGCACAGUAAGAGCUUGCUCUUACGGGUGGCGAGUGGCGGACGGGUGAGGAAUACAUCGGAAUCUACUUUUUCGUGGGGGAUAACGUAGGGAAACUUACGCUAAUACCGCAUACGACCUACGGGUGAAAGCAGGGGAUCUUCGGACCUUGCGCGAUUGAAUGAGCCGAUGUCGGAUUAGCUAGUUGGCGGGGUAAAGGCCCACCAAGGCGACGAUCCGUAGCUGGUCUGAGAGGAUGAUCAGCCCCACUGGAACUGAGACACGGUCCAGACUCCUACGGGAGGCAGCAGUGGGGAAUAUUGGACAAUGGGCGCAAGCCUGAUCCAGCCAUACCGCGUGGGGGAAGAAGGCCUUCGGGUUGGAAAGCCCUUUUGGUGGGAAAGAAAAGGAGCAGGUUAAUACCCCGCUGUUCUGACGGUACCCAAAGAAUAAGCACCGGCUAACUUCGUG
RNAcentral lists this ribosomal RNA (492 nucleotides) under uncultured bacterium. Its description in RNAcentral is "partial 16S ribosomal RNA". It matches the Rfam family "Bacterial small subunit ribosomal RNA", at positions 29 to 507 of the family's 1533-position model. The record is from RNAcentral.